GUUUAAGCAUCUGCGCACAAAAGGAAGUGGCACUGUAGCAUUAGCAAUAUUGUUAGCUGGUGUAAGCGACUGAAAGUCUGUGAAAAUCGCUAACAUGCUAGUUCUCCUCACAGACUUCCAUUGAUUGUGCUGAUUGUAGCUUCACGAAACAACCUCUUAUACUUCCUCCACGCAGAGAUGGCACCACUGCACAAAUUGGGAUGGAUUGCAAAAGCUCCGACAUCCCAUUAACUUGACACAGAUGAUGGUGACGAGAGCGGUCUACGACAGGGCCUCAAAAAACAUUUAGGACGGCUUCCUGAGUCACAUUUUCCACGUUGUGUUCCAGGGCAUGCAGCUAUUACCUUUGGUCUGCUCUGCUCCUCGUCGCCGCUGCUCUCCGGUAGGAAGCGUCCUGAGACCGCAGGGGAUGGAUGACCUGUCAUCAGGCGAUACAGUUAUUCUCCCCUCCUCUCCGGAUCUCGCAAUGAGCUGUAAUGGACUGGAAGGAAGAGCAACAGGAACAAUGGCCGUGACCUUUGAGUUGUGUCCAUGGGUUACCGCUUGUACUGUUGGCCCGGGGCGACCUCAGCCUUGACCUCUGGGGGAUGACGGCUGAUGUGAAGGACCAUUGGACCUUCUGACCUCCAGGUAGAAGGGGAGAAGCUGAAAAUGUGCCAUGGGGAAUGAGGUGCUGGGAGGGGGAAAAACUGAAAUGUGAUGUGUGUGUGUAUGAUGUGUAUUUGUGUUUGUGUGUUCAGGGGGGUGUUAUUUGAACCUCAGAAUGUUGAACCAAGUUUUGUCUUGCAACAGAGGAAGAGGUGAAGGAUCUAGGCUGUGACGUUACUAUGAAUCCUGGGAGAAACUGUCAAUGUAAACUUUUUGAUGUAUCUUGUGGAGACACGUUUUUUUGUAUUUUUUUUAAAGUGUUUUAAAGGACAAAAUUUCACCCUGAGUAAAUAGGAGACAGAAACACAAUUUGGAUUUCCUCAUGGGUGGCAAAUGUUCUUAUUUAUAUGGAAAGCUUUU
Long non-coding RNA from Esox lucius (northern pike), 1008 nucleotides. The record is from Ensembl. NCBI's taxonomy places the organism in Eukaryota, Metazoa, Chordata, Actinopteri, Esociformes, Esocidae.